CUGGCAUGAAGGUUGAACAAAGGGUAGUGUCUUAAGGAUAAUCUAGUAAUUUAGAGUUUUAGUGAAAAUGCUGAGAUGAUUUCAAGGGACGAUAAGACCCUAGAAGUUUUAUAAAUAUCUUGUUUGGUGUAAACUAGUAAGGUUUGUUUAGCUGGGGUAGUGAAGGCAGGUUGACUGUGCUAUAAGGUAAGUUUACGGAUUCUUAAGAUAAAGAUUAGUUGAAUUAAUUACUUUAGGGGUAACAGCGCAAUAGCCCUAGGAAGACCUUAUUUACAGGGGUGUUUGCGACCUCGAUGUUGAAUUAAGAUUUCUUUUAGGAGCAGAGUCUGUUGGGAGAAGGUUUGUUCAACCUUUAAUUUUUUACGUGAUUU
This 371-nucleotide ribosomal RNA is filed under the name Amphipoda sp. BOLD:ADF5872. RNAcentral describes it as "partial 16S ribosomal RNA". It matches the Rfam family "Bacterial large subunit ribosomal RNA", at positions 1987 to 2606 of the family's 2925-position model. The record is from RNAcentral. Lineage: Eukaryota; Metazoa; Arthropoda; Malacostraca; Amphipoda.